UACGAAGGGGGCUAGCGUUGCUCGGAUUGACUGGGCGUAAAGGGCGCGUAGGCGGUUCGUACAGUCAGACGUGAAGUUCCUGGGCUCAACCUGGGGGCUGCGUUUGAUACGUGCGGACUUGAGUGCGGAAGAGGGUCGUGGAAUUCCCAGUGUAGAGGUGAAAUGCGUAGAUAUCUGGAGGAAUACCGGUGGCGAAGGCGGCAUCCUGGACCGGCAUUGACGCUGAGGAGCGAAAGCUAGGGGAGCAAACGGG
RNAcentral lists this ribosomal RNA (253 nucleotides) under uncultured bacterium. RNAcentral's name for it is "partial 16S ribosomal RNA". It matches the Rfam family "Bacterial small subunit ribosomal RNA", at positions 524 to 776 of the family's 1533-position model. The record is from RNAcentral.